CGAAAUGUCCGGUACAAAGCCAUCAGAAAAUCGGGCACCAUGUCUUCUUCUUCAUUUUGAAGAAAAUACCCCUCGUGGGUGACGAAUUACAUAAAUAUUUUACGAGCGCUGACUUACCCCUCUUGACGUUUUGACAGUUUGUCUGUUUGUUUUUCUCCCUCACCUUGCGACGUCGUUUCGGUUCGUUUCGGCAGGAACUGGAAAUGCUUUUGUUGGACAUGGCUCACCGAGCUAAGGUUGAGUUGUCCGGUCAGUACAUUGGCAAGUUCCAGUGCAAGCUAGGAUACGGUAAAGCUACUCCGACGACCAGAAUUUGGGUUGGUGGUCUGGUAACAUAGAGGAAAACCAGCAACUGCGCGAGAAAAUCCUACCCGGCCGGCACCAAACUUCAACAAGGUGGAAAGACGGAAAACGUCCGGACGAAUUUACCACUUUUGUAACGCCGAAGCAGAUGAAGCCGUAUCGAAUGCACUUCAUAAAAUUGAAGGAUUGCACCUGAGACGCUGAACGUUUAAUCCAUACAAAAAGUUUUUGGCGAUGCCGGAUUAUACGUAAGAAGAACAAUCCAAGCUGCUAUGAUCAAGACUUGUCAGAGCCUGUUCGAGAUGAGGGUAUCCUUGAAGGAACAAAAGAAAUAAGAUAAAGCGCGCUUCAGGAGAAAUAAUGCCACAGCGAAGCGGUGAUAAUAUGGCUGGGGCUGGCUGAGGGACACUCAGGGACUUGAGGGGCAUUAAACUAUUGCCUGAACAGAAGAAAUUUGUAGCCAACCUCAUCCCGUUCAAGAAGGCGCUCAAUCGAAAAAAAAACACCGUUAUCGACUUAGUUGUGGGCCUUAGUUGCUUAAGGAAAAUUCCAGAU
Long non-coding RNA from Armigeres subalbatus, 858 nucleotides. RefSeq lists it as uncharacterized. The transcript has 3 exons. The record is from RefSeq and is a predicted model, not a curated record. NCBI's taxonomy places the organism in Eukaryota, Metazoa, Arthropoda, Insecta, Diptera, Culicidae.